UUGUCUAUAUCUUUACCCUGAGUUAGUUAUUUCUGUGCCAUUUUAUUUAAUUAUUCGUUGUCUUGAGAAGCAAGAUCUUUUGUUCUUCCAUUCUGCAAAAGUCACUUCUCCUUUUGCCUGGGCCAAGAAAAUAUUUAAAAAAGUUAGUCCCUUAAAUUGCUGCAGUAGUUUUAUUUUCCCGGCGUGAAUUUUUGUUUAUAUUGAAAGAUAGAAGGAAAGGACUGAUGUCUUUGGGUGAAAAAGUCUUUGUUGGCUUAUCAGUAUGCGCAAAUGACUAGAUUCUGUUGUAAUGCUAGCUAAGCUAAUCAUCUUAGUUUCCUUUUAUUUAAAUCAAACAAGCCAGAGCCUUUCCCUUCUCUUUUUUUUUAGAAUUAGAGCCCAUUGAGGGGGACCUCGCUUCAAAGGUGAAAGUGAUGUGUGUUCAAAAGCAGUAGAGUAUGUAUAUACAGACACAUAUAUACAUCAUAUCAUUUGUCUUAGCAGUGAGCACAAAUGAAUAAUUGAACUCAUGCUGCUGUAUUUAAGAAAAUUUACCUAGUAUCAACCAUGUCUUUUAGUUUUCUGACUUUGUUUGAUUAUGUUAUGUGACAUUCACCUCAUGUAAAUGAACUAUCCGUGAAUUAUUGCUCUAGGUUCUGAUUUUGUUCUUGAGAGUAAAAAUGUCGUGAUAUGUUUUAUGUUGGCUUAUAAGCUAUAUCAGUUGCUUCAUUAUCGUUUGCUAAAUUUUGUAUUUGUUCAGCUAAAUCAAUUGGUUGAUGAGGUUUUCGAACAAUUAAGAAAAGCCAGAGACGGUACCAAAACUCAAGUACAUCAAGUUGUAGUUGCUAUUUUCUUGAUAUUCAGAUACUUCCAUGCAAACUAUAAGGACAUCAAAUAAAAAUUUUGGUACUUUAAAUUCAAGAUUUUUUGUUUGUUCCUUAUAAAAUUAUUCUUUAAGUUCACAGGUCUAAUAGGAUUAUCCAAGUCCAUAUAAGCAAACUACCAGUACAUUCCUAAAUCAAUGUGGGACUUUUUACCCACUCUAACACCCCCUUAUUCCCAACACCUCCCUCUCACGCCCAGACCUAAUAGGAUUACCCAUCUAAAACUCCCCUCAUGCCCAGGCCUAACAGGAUUAUCUAAGUCCAUAUAAGCAAACUACCAGUCCAUUCCCCAACCAAUGUGAGACUUUUUACCCACUCUAACACCCCCCACACGCCCAGACCUAACAGGAUUACCCAAGUUCAUAUAAGCAAACUACCAGUCCAUUCACCAACCAAUGUGGGAUGUUUUACCCACUCUAACACCCUACCUUCUAUGCCCAGGGCCCAACUAGUAACUAGCGCGUGGAACGAGAGCCCAAAACAAGGAUGGACUUGGCUCUGAUACCAUAUCAAGAAUGGAUCUUGGGCCUAACUCAACCUCAAAAGCUAGCUCAUGAGGUGAGGAUUGCCUAAAUCCAUAUAAGCAAACUAUUAGUUCAUUUCUCAACCCAUGCGGGACUUUUUACCUACUCUAACAUAUACUUGUUAUGUUCAAAGUCUUAUGUUGACCUAUCAUUACAAGAUUCAGGGUAAAUUAUUAAAAAUUACAUGAAAAUAAUUUAUUUUUUAUUAAUUUUCAAGCAUUGGUUAGUAUACAAAGUAAAAUAAUGAAAAUAACCUUAGAGAUUCUUCUAUUCCACAAGCACCUAGCUAGCAUGCGUUCAUGUCUGAUGUCUCUCAAAUUUGUUCUGUAGUACUUCUACGAUACUAUAUGGGUGGGAUUUGUAUCAAGCCUAAGGAGAGACCACAAAUAUUAAUAUUAAAUGCUACAGGCUUAUGAUGCUUGCAUAAAGUAACAAAAGCCGACACAUAGGCAAGGAAAGAGGUGCAAACGAUGACAUAGGCAACAACAGCGAGAGCAGUUGAAUGCCCUAACGUAGCGUAAAUGCCAGUUACAAAUUCAAUUUACAUUGCAAACAUUGCGUUAAUUAGCAGAGUACCUGCAUUAAGAUAAAGCCCCAACAAAAGUGGAGAUACUUGGCCAUAAUUUUCUAUUAAUAAUGCAAGUCUUUUUUGGUCCGCCAUGGUGAAAUAAAUGACUAUAUCCAAGUGGAGCACGCAAAGGCAAUGGUAUCCAUAAGAACAAACACCUAAAAGGCUGCAUUUCUUAUUAGAAUUGUUGCUCCUUUAUUAGGGCUUUUGGAAUCGCUUUCAAAUCCUGCUGGUAAUGUGAAGCUAACAGCAAAGGUGACUGUAACUAAUAAAGUUCCUACCACAAAAUGUGUUUUAUGUUCCUUCAUAAUAAUUUCAUCUCUUUUCUCUUCUGUUUUAGCUUCAAGAGUUCCCAUCCAUUUCUCUGAGGAAUAGAUAUAUUAUCCAAAAUAAUCUCCCAAAUAUGUAUGAUCUUGUGAGUCCAUUACUUUCUCAUCAUUAUAUAUGUAGGAAAGAGAUUUGGUAUUUGCCUAGAUCGUAAGUUAGAAGAAAGGAAUUUGGUUCUUGCCUUUGAUCAAACGAAAUGGAUUUGGUAUUUGCCUAGAUCAUAAUUUAGAAGAAAGGAAUUUGGUCCUUGCCUUUGAUCGAAA
RNAcentral lists this long non-coding RNA (2545 nucleotides) under Capsicum annuum. RNAcentral describes it as "long non-coding RNA (CANN_LNC002226)". Lineage: Eukaryota; Viridiplantae; Streptophyta; Magnoliopsida; Solanales; Solanaceae. The record is from RNAcentral.